AGCGACGAAAUCUUUCAGAUUGUCCGCCGGAAAAUCCUUACGCGCGACCAGCACGAGCGGCGCUUCCAGGAACAAACCAAUGCUGCUGAAGUCCUUGGUCGCAUCAUAGGUCGGCUUCUUGUAGAGCAGUUGGUUCUGNNNNNUCCCGACCAGGAAGGUAUACCCGUCGGGCUGAGCCUUGGCGACGCGCUGCGCACCGAUCAUGCUGCCCGCCCCGCCGACGUUCUCAACAAUGACCUGCUGGCCGAGAACUUCACCCAUGCGCUGGGCAAACAUGCGCGCCGGGACAUCGUUCGGGCCACCGGCUGCGAACGGAUUGAUCAUCGUAAUGGGACGGCUCGGCCAGUCAUGGGCCGCAUGCACGCGGUCGAUGUCAACGAAAGUUACGGCCGCCGCCAUCACUGCA
This 406-nucleotide unclassified non-coding RNA is filed under the name Hevea brasiliensis (rubber tree). The record is from RNAcentral. Lineage: Eukaryota; Viridiplantae; Streptophyta; Magnoliopsida; Malpighiales; Euphorbiaceae.